Molecule: ribosomal RNA, 281 nt
Filed under: uncultured Hyphomicrobiales bacterium
Lineage: Bacteria; Pseudomonadati; Pseudomonadota; Alphaproteobacteria; Hyphomicrobiales
Description: uncultured Rhizobiales bacterium partial 16S ribosomal RNA
Rfam family: Bacterial small subunit ribosomal RNA
Source: RNAcentral
CCUACCCUGCAGUCGAGCGGCCGACGCAUACGGGAAAAGCAGACGGGAGAGUCCACGUGGGAACAGUGCCCUUCGGUUCGGAAUAACCCAGGGAAACUUGGGCUAAUUCCGCAUACGUCCGCAAGGAGAAAGAUUUAUUGCCGAAGGAUCGGCCCGCGUCCGAUUAGCUAGUUGGUGGGGUAAUGGCCCACCAAGGCGACGAUCGGUAGCUGGUCUGAGAGGAUGAUCAGCCUCACUGGGACUGAGACACGGCCCAGACUCCUACGGGAGGCAGCAGUGGG